GACGAACGCUGGCGGCGUGCCUAAUACAUGCAAGUAGAACGCUGAAGCAGGAGCUUGCUCUUCUGGCUGAGUUGCGAACGGGUGAGUAACGCGUAGGUAACCUGCCUGGUAGUGGGGGAUAACUAUUGGAAACGAUAGCUAAUACCGCAUAAUAUACGUUGUUGCAUGACAACUGUUUGAAAGGUGCAAUUGCCUCACUACCAGAUGGACCUGCGUUGUAUUAGCUAGUUGGUGGGGUAACGGCUCACCAAGGCGACGAUACAUAGCCGACCUGAGAGGGGGAUCGGCCACACUUGGACUUAGACACGGCCCAGACUUCUACGGGAGGCAGCAGUAGGGAAUCUUCGGCAAUGGACGAAAGUCUUACCGAACAACGCCGCGUGAGUGAAGAAGGUUCUCGGAUCGUAAAGCUCUGUUUGAAGAGAAGAACGAGUGUGAGAGUGGAAAGUUCACACUGUGACGGUAUCUAAACAGAAAGGGACGGCUAACUACGUG
Molecule: ribosomal RNA, 495 nt
Filed under: uncultured bacterium
Lineage: Bacteria
Description: partial 16S ribosomal RNA
Rfam family: Bacterial small subunit ribosomal RNA
Source: RNAcentral